CGUUCUGUGCAUAAUAAUGACCUAAAACUGGUAAACAAGCCUGGAGACAAGCGCAAUGGCAGGCUGCAGUUCACGUCGCCACGGCUCCUGGACAAGGACAACGCGUUCUCCUGCAAACAGGAGCCGCCCGGAGGUUCUGCUGGGGGUUGUUCGCUACGCGGCGCCCAGCCAGGCGGUGCACUCGGGGACGCGAGUGCGAAGGGGAGUAGCCAGGGCGCUCUUCGGGCCUUAGACACCAGGUGGGCGCUCUGGAGAGUCGGAAGAGGGGAUCCGAGCUCCUGGCUAUUCCUGACGCGGUGCGCAGUGCGCUCCGGCAGUGCGCAAGGAGGUGACCCCUACCUGGAGGAGUGUGGUGCGUGGGUUGGGUCCCCCGUACUCCCUCCCCACGGGCCUCCUCUGUAUAUUGAGGGGGGCAUAAGAGGUGACUUCCGUGUUUGGGACCUGGGGCUCGAGGCUAGGGAAGUGUCCAGAGCCAAAAUUCAUCCACGCAUCAGGCUCCACGUGGAGCUGCCUCAGGGCCGAGAAAGGGUGCUCAGGGGUACAGGUGGGAGGGUUAAAGUUUGGGGAUGGGGUACGGUGGUUUGGGGAGUGUCGGCUUUCGGAGAUCUUCAGGAGAAAGCUCAGAGCUCCGACUUGCUGUCCCCAAGGGUUGGAGCCUGGGGUGCUGGAGGGGGUCGCAGACUCGGGCAGGAGUUUAUAAACUGUGGGACAAGACGGAGGGGCCGCGACCGAAUCUCUCGGCCCUUCUGGGCCUCAGGAGACGCCGGCAUGAAACAGGCGUGCCAAGCUGGGGGACGGCGCUUUAGACUCUGGCGAACCGCUCUCCAAGACGCAAGGACACAGGAUUUCCGCGGAUCGACCCUGCGCAGCGUUUGGUGGCUGCCAACGCUCGCCCUAGAUCUCCUGGCGGAGGGACCCUCCUUUGGAUUGCUGCUCGGCGAGUGGUUUCCCGACACGUGGUCCCUCAGUGCUUGGUGUAGAGCCGCUCGGGGCGUGCCGUCGCGGGGAGGGGACCCGGCCGGCCGGGCAGGAUCCCGCCGGUCCCGCGCGGCCAGCCCCUGCCCCUGGCACUCACACUCCGUCGCCAGUCCCCAACCUUGCGGACUGGCAAACUCUAGACGCGGGGUCCCUACGGCGCUGGGGUGGGGGUGGUGCAGGGCGGGUGGAGCUGCUAACCCGGGGAAGCCAGUUCACGAGAAUUGGGAGCCUGUGGAAUUUGACCCUGUGGCACCAAAGCGAAAACAAGGGGGAAAGGUGUCUGUUCUCUGUUUUGUUUCUUUUUUGGGCACAAACGCGUAA
RNAcentral lists this long non-coding RNA (1299 nucleotides) under Oryctolagus cuniculus (rabbit). RNAcentral's name for it is "lncRNA (ENSOCUG00000038223.1)". Lineage: Eukaryota; Metazoa; Chordata; Mammalia; Lagomorpha; Leporidae. The record is from RNAcentral.